UGGGGAAUAUUGGACAAUGGGCGAAAGCCUGAUCCAGCCAUGCCGCGUGUGUGAAGAAGGUCUUCGGAUUGUAAAGCACUUUAAGUUGGGAGGAAGGGCAGUAAGUUAAUACCUUGCUGUUUUGACGUUACCGACAGAAUAAGCACCGGCUAACUCUGUGCCAGCAGCCGCGGUAAUACGUAGGCAGCAAGCGUUGUUCGGAAUUACUGGGUGUAAAGGGUGCGUAGGCGGCGCUCUAAGUUUGGUGUGAAAUCUCCCGGCUUAACUGGGAGGGUGCACUGAAAACGGGGGCGCUCGAGUAUGGGAGAGGAAAGCGGGAUUCCUGGUGUAGCGGUGAAAUGCGUAGAGAUCAGGAGGAACACCUGCGGUGCAGACGGCUUUCUGGACCAUCACUGACGCUGAGGCACGAAAGCGUGGGUAGCAA
This 424-nucleotide ribosomal RNA is filed under the name uncultured bacterium. RNAcentral's name for it is "bacterial SSU rRNA". It matches the Rfam family "Bacterial small subunit ribosomal RNA", at positions 355 to 771 of the family's 1533-position model. The record is from RNAcentral.